RNAcentral lists this long non-coding RNA (337 nucleotides) under Pan troglodytes (chimpanzee). Its description in RNAcentral is "long non-coding RNA NONPTRT009041". The record is from RNAcentral. Lineage: Eukaryota; Metazoa; Chordata; Mammalia; Primates; Hominidae.
CCCAGAUUAGGGACCCAGAAUAGCUCUAGGCACCCCCCUCCCGGACUCUCACAGGGACAGACAGCGGCCGGGAGGUGGGGGUCCCUGUUCCAGCCUGAGGAAGGAGGACCCGGCCCUGCCGAGCCCAGCAAGUGCCAGGUGGAGAUGCCCUCGGCCCCGUGGGGGUAUAGGGGGCACCCUCCCUGCCCCCUCCCCUCUGGUCAGGGCCCUGGGUCACAGCCCUGUCCCAUCACAGAGGACUCGUGGCAGUGGGUUCUCUCUUGCUCUUCCACCUUCUCCCAUGUGAGGACACAGCAAGAAGGCCCUACCAGAUGGCAGCACCUUGAUCCUGGACUUC